UUGAAACCCUGGUUCUCAUCCGAUCACCGAAGUUAAGUAACGUUGAGCCUGGUCAAUACCGAGAUGGGUGACCACUCGGAUAUACCAUGUGCU
Molecule: non-coding RNA, 93 nt
Organism: Acanthosepion pharaonis
Lineage: Eukaryota; Metazoa; Mollusca; Cephalopoda; Sepiida; Sepiidae
Source: the annotation of a GenBank genome assembly